GAAUUUUGGACAAUGGGCGAAAGCCUGAUCCAGCCAUGCCGCGUGAGUGAAGAAGGCCUUCGGGUUGUAAAGCUCUUUCAGACGGAAAGAAAUCGGGCGCGUGAAUAGCGCGCCUGGAUGACGGUACUGUCAGAAGAAGCACCGGCUAACUACGUCCCAGCAGCCGCGGUAAUACGUAGGGUGCGAGCGUUAAUCGGAAUUACUGGGCGUAAAGCGUGCGCAGGCGGUUGUGUAAGACAGGUGUGAAAUCCCCGGGCUUAACCUGGGAACUGCGCUUGUGACUGCACGGCUAGAGUACGGCAGAGGGGGGUGGAAUUCCACGUGUAGCAGUGAAAUGCGUAGAGAUGUGGAGGAACACCGAUGGCGAAGGCAGCCCCCUGGGCCGAUACUGACGCUCAUGCACGAAAGCGUGGGGAGCAAACAG
RNAcentral lists this ribosomal RNA (424 nucleotides) under uncultured bacterium. RNAcentral describes it as "bacterial SSU rRNA". It matches the Rfam family "Bacterial small subunit ribosomal RNA", at positions 359 to 775 of the family's 1533-position model. The record is from RNAcentral.